This is a long non-coding RNA of Protobothrops mucrosquamatus (brown spotted pit viper), 254 nucleotides long. RefSeq lists it as uncharacterized. Lineage: Eukaryota; Metazoa; Chordata; Lepidosauria; Squamata; Viperidae. The record is from RefSeq and is a predicted model, not a curated record. The transcript has 3 exons.
AGCAUGCCGGUCGUUUAUGAGAAAUAUAAGACUCAGAUCGACCAUUAUGUCGGGAUCAUCCGGGAUCAAACCAACUCUGCUGUUACAAAGAUCCAAGCAAAGCUGCCCGGCACCGUGAAGAAAAAGGCCGAAUAACCUCCGCCAGCCACCAAGAGACCCAGCCAUUAAUUGAAAUCCACACCAACAACGAAAAUACUCCCCUUGUGUCAUGGCUAUAAUCACUGUUACUCGUAUCUAUGAAGGAACUUGCCAAG